UUAAAUGUUUGUUCGUGUUCGUUGCUCUUUGGACAAGCGUAGCAGUAAAUCUGGUUUCAUAACGGAAAUCACUGAGAAGGUUAUCGAUGCCAUUGGCGAGGUUGGACUUGCGAGAUUGAUAAACGUGGUUCGUAGCUUUGAUAUUCCUGUUGAGAGUGGAGAAAACGACGAAUUGAAGUGAAAGUUGUCAGAAGUUGGAGUUUGGCCAUUGCAAAGUGGUCGUUGACUAUUGCACGUGGAGAAGGCUUGAAGGCGUGAGGCUGUGGAGCAUCAAUGACAGUGAGUGCUGCUUGGUGAUAGGAAGUAGAGAUUUGGUUUGUCUAAUUUGUGGAGUAGAUGGUGGUUGGUUGCUUGAUGAGUUUAAUGAGUUAAUGAAUGUUUUGUGUUGUAGUCCUCAUUUCCUUAUGGAUCUGGUACGUGUGACG
Corticium candelabrum is the source of this 425-nucleotide long non-coding RNA. RefSeq lists it as uncharacterized. The transcript is spliced from 3 exons. Lineage: Eukaryota; Metazoa; Porifera; Homoscleromorpha; Homosclerophorida; Plakinidae. The record is from RefSeq and is a predicted model, not a curated record.